This 2241-nucleotide ribosomal RNA is filed under the name Escherichia coli. RNAcentral describes it as "23S ribosomal RNA". It matches the Rfam family "Bacterial large subunit ribosomal RNA", at positions 593 to 2819 of the family's 2925-position model. Lineage: Bacteria; Pseudomonadati; Pseudomonadota; Gammaproteobacteria; Enterobacterales; Enterobacteriaceae. The record is from RNAcentral.
GUGACUGCGUACCUUUUGUAUAAUGGGUCAGCGACUUAUAUUCUGUAGCAAGGUUAACCGAAUAGGGGAGCCGAAGGGAAACCGAGUCUUAACUGGGCGUUAAGUUGCAGGGUAUAGACCCGAAACCCGGUGAUCUAGCCAUGGGCAGGUUGAAGGUUGGGUAACACUAACUGGAGGACCGAACCGACUAAUGUUGAAAAAUUAGCGGAUGACUUGUGGCUGGGGGUGAAAGGCCAAUCAAACCGGGAGAUAGCUGGUUCUCCCCGAAAGCUAUUUAGGUAGCGCCUCGUGAAUUCAUCUCCGGGGGUAGAGCACUGUUUCGGCAAGGGGGUCAUCCCGACUUACCAACCCGAUGCAAACUGCGAAUACCGGAGAAUGUUAUCACGGGAGACACACGGCGGGUGCUAACGUCCGUCGUGAAGAGGGAAACAACCCAGACCGCCAGCUAAGGUCCCAAAGUCAUGGUUAAGUGGGAAACGAUGUGGGAAGGCCCAGACAGCCAGGAUGUUGGCUUAGAAGCAGCCAUCAUUUAAAGAAAGCGUAAUAGCUCACUGGUCGAGUCGGCCUGCGCGGAAGAUGUAACGGGGCUAAACCAUGCACCGAAGCUGCGGCAGCGACGCUUAUGCGUUGUUGGGUAGGGGAGCGUUCUGUAAGCCUGUGAAGGUGUGCUGUGAGGCAUGCUGGAGGUAUCAGAAGUGCGAAUGCUGACAUAAGUAACGAUAAAGCGGGUGAAAAGCCCGCUCGCCGGAAGACCAAGGGUUCCUGUCCAACGUUAAUCGGGGCAGGGUGAGUCGACCCCUAAGGCGAGGCCGAAAGGCGUAGUCGAUGGGAAACAGGUUAAUAUUCCUGUACUUGGUGUUACUGCGAAGGGGGGACGGAGAAGGCUAUGUUGGCCGGGCGACGGUUGUCCCGGUUUAAGCGUGUAGGCUGGUUUUCCAGGCAAAUCCGGAAAAUCAAGGCUGAGGCGUGAUGACGAGGCACUACGGUGCUGAAGCAACAAAUGCCCUGCUUCCAGGAAAAGCCUCUAAGCAUCAGGUAACAUCAAAUCGUACCCCAAACCGACACAGGUGGUCAGGUAGAGAAUACCAAGGCGCUUGAGAGAACUCGGGUGAAGGAACUAGGCAAAAUGGUGCCGUAACUUCGGGAGAAGGCACGCUGAUAUGUAGGUGAAGUCCCUCGCGGAUGGAGCUGAAAUCAGUCGAAGAUACCAGCUGGCUGCAACUGUUUAUUAAAAACACAGCACUGUGCAAACACGAAAGUGGACGUAUACGGUGUGACGCCUGCCCGGUGCCGGAAGGUUAAUUGAUGGGGUCAGCGCAAGCGAAGCUCUUGAUCGAAGCCCCGGUAAACGGCGGCCGUAACUAUAACGGUCCUAAGGUAGCGAAAUUCCUUGUCGGGUAAGUUCCGACCUGCACGAAUGGCGUAAUGAUGGCCAGGCUGUCUCCACCCGAGACUCAGUGAAAUUGAACUCGCUGUGAAGAUGCAGUGUACCCGCGGCAAGACGGAAAGACCCCGUGAACCUUUACUAUAGCUUGACACUGAACAUUGAGCCUUGAUGUGUAGGAUAGGUGGGAGGCUUUGAAGUGUGGACGCCAGUCUGCAUGGAGCCGACCUUGAAAUACCACCCUUUAAUGUUUGAUGUUCUAACGUUGACCCGUGAUCCGGGUUGCGGACAGUGUCUGGUGGGUAGUUUGACUGGGGCGGUCUCCUCCUAAAGAGUAACGGAGGAGCACGAAGGUUGGCUAAUCCUGGUCGGACAUCAGGAGGUUAGUGCAAUGGCAUAAGCCAGCUUGACUGCGAGCGUGACGGCGCGAGCAGGUGCGAAAGCAGGUCAUAGUGAUCCGGUGGUUCUGAAUGGAAGGGCCAUCGCUCAACGGAUAAAAGGUACUCCGGGGAUAACAGGCUGAUACCGCCCAAGAGUUCAUAUCGACGGCGGUGUUUGGCACCUCGAUGUCGGCUCAUCACAUCCUGGGGCUGAAGUAGGUCCCAAGGGUAUGGCUGUUCGCCAUUUAAAGUGGUACGCGAGCUGGGUUUAGAACGUCGUGAGACAGUUCGGUCCCUAUCUGCCGUGGGCGCUGGAGAACUGAGGGGGGCUGCUCCUAGUACGAGAGGACCGGAGUGGACGCAUCACUGGUGUUCGGGUUGUCAUGCCAAUGGCACUGCCCGGUAGCUAAAUGCGGAAGAGAUAAGUGCUGAAAGCAUCUAAGCACGAAACUUGCCCCGAGAUGAGUUCUCCCUGAC